This 210-nucleotide long non-coding RNA is filed under the name Elaeis guineensis (African oil palm). RNAcentral describes it as "long non-coding RNA (EGUI_LNC061271)". The record is from RNAcentral. Lineage: Eukaryota; Viridiplantae; Streptophyta; Magnoliopsida; Arecales; Arecaceae.
GAAUGGAUUGAUCACUGUCCUUUGUGACGAUCCUUCGAUCGGGAGCAUUUAGAAAUUAACCACUAAUGAUGUAUGUCUCAAAUUCUCAAUAUCUUGAGAAUAUACAAAAUCACCUUUGUUAAUUUUUGAGACAAAUCAUUGACACAUAAACAUGAUUGGUAAUUAAAACUACUCAACAAAUACAAAACAUGCCCUAGAGAAAAGUAUAUG